ACAGCUCAAAGAGAAGCACAAGCAGAGCGGUGGGAGCGUGGGUGCGCUGGAGGAGCUGGAGAACGCCUUCAGCCUGGCCGAGGAGUCCUGCCCCGGCAUCUCAGACAAGCUGAUGGUGCACCUGGUGGAGCGAGUGCAGAGGUUUUCACACAACAGAAACCACCUGACAUCCACCCGCUGAAGCGCGCUGCUGUUCAGAUAGGGGACAGAAGGUCGUUUGUUUUUGUCUUGAGCUCCAUAAGAACUGUGCUGACUUGGAAGGUGCCCUGUGCUGUGUCGUGCCUGCAGGGACACAUCAGAUCCUGUGGGCCUCACAUGCCAGGUCACCAGGUCACCGUCUCCUUCCAUCCCUGCAGUGUGCUGUUCUGCACGUCAGGGAUACCGUUCCAUAUGCCCGCUGCCCUCCCUCUCCUGGCCCAGCAGUAUUGCUCAUGGGGGCUCCAGCAGCCAGCGUGGCCCUCAUGAGCUAUGCCUGGGUCUUCUGCAGACUCACGCAGCCCUAUGGCCGCUCAGACCAAGGCGCAGAGCAACUAUCAGGGCAGCUCUGCCUCCUCCCGUGAGGUGGGGAGAGGCAACAGGGCAGCCCCCAGAGGAGUGUCCUGGCCGCUGUCCUCCUGGGGCCCAUGAUGGCCAUAGAUUUGCCUUGUGGUGUUGGAUCAGGUACUGUGUCUGCUCAUAAGUACUUGUGUCAUCCAGAAUGUUUUGUUUUUUAAGAAAAUUGAAUUUACUCGUUUCCUGAAAUAUUCUGAGAUUAAUAUGUUAGUUUUCAUAGAACAUUGAGAGGCCCCUGCC
RNAcentral lists this small RNA (792 nucleotides) under Pongo abelii (Sumatran orangutan). Its description in RNAcentral is "retained intron". Lineage: Eukaryota; Metazoa; Chordata; Mammalia; Primates; Hominidae. The record is from RNAcentral.